AUUAUCACAUUCGUACAAUCUUUUAAUUCAGAAAUCAAGUGUUCUAUUGUUUGUGUUGUUUAUUCAUUUUAUUCAUCAAGAUUCUGGGCAACAGUAGUAUCAAAGCCAAAGGCUCGAAUCCUUUGAUUCAAAUUCAUUUGGGGAGGCUGAUCAUAUGGAGGGUGUUCAAUAUCUAUCGUGUCUCGAUCCGAUCAUCACUAAGGGUGUUUGGAUUCUGGUUGUUUAAUUCCGAUCACGCAAGAGGGGGCGAUUGGGUUCAUCGCAAGAAACCGAAGUUCAAAGACAAGGAUCUUCUACAAAAAGUUUUCAUUCCCUUGGAGAAUGAAGAUGCUACAACGUAAAGAUGUUGAAGGCAUGGAUUAAGAAACUAGGGGGAAUAUUGUAUUUUAGUUCCUCAUUCCAUGCCAUGCGGAUCAUAGUUAGUGAGCCGAUUAUGUAAAUAGGUUAAAGUAUGUUUUAGUGUCAUAUGUAACUGUAUAAUUAUCUAGGGAAUGAUUGUGUCAAAUUAGAACCUAUAACCUAAGAAGAGUGGGAUGCAACUUUCACAGGCAACACGUCGUUCAACAAGGGCGCCAAAAUAAUCAAAAGACACAACGAUUCAGUGGGGUGUGUCGAUUCCAAGGAGUUGUGUUGUUUGGAUGUUGGUUCGGUUAGUAUAUAUAGGUUAAUGUAUUUUCAAUUGUAGUAUAACAUUCAUAAAUCUUUCAAUUAAGAAAUCAUGUGUUCU
RNAcentral lists this long non-coding RNA (727 nucleotides) under Helianthus annuus (common sunflower). Its description in RNAcentral is "hypothetical non coding rna". The record is from RNAcentral. Lineage: Eukaryota; Viridiplantae; Streptophyta; Magnoliopsida; Asterales; Asteraceae.